This 301-nucleotide ribosomal RNA is filed under the name uncultured bacterium. RNAcentral's name for it is "partial 16S ribosomal RNA". It matches the Rfam family "Bacterial small subunit ribosomal RNA", at positions 509 to 809 of the family's 1533-position model. The record is from RNAcentral.
CAGUCGCCGCGGGAAUACGUAGGGUGCGAGCGUUAAUCGGAAUUACUGGGCGUAAAGCGUGCGCAGGCGGUUUUGUAAGACAGGCGUGAAAUCCCCGGGCUCAACCUGGGAAUGGCGCUUGUGACUGCAAAGCUAGAGUGCGGCAGAGGGGGAUGGAAUUCCGCGUGUAGCAGUGAAAUGCGUAGAUAUGCGGAGGAACACCGAUGGCGAAGGCAAUCCCCUGGGCCUGCACUGACGCUCAUGCACGAAAGCGUGGGGAGCAAACAGGAUUAGAUACCCCGGUAGUCCCUGUUUCUUAUAU